This 253-nucleotide ribosomal RNA is filed under the name uncultured bacterium. RNAcentral's name for it is "partial 16S ribosomal RNA". It matches the Rfam family "Bacterial small subunit ribosomal RNA", at positions 524 to 776 of the family's 1533-position model. The record is from RNAcentral.
UACGUAGGUGGCAAGCGUUGUCCGGAAUUACUGGGCGUAAAGCGUGCGCAGGCGGUUAUUUAAGACAGUUGUGAAAUCCCCGGGCUCAACCUGGGAACUGCAUCUGUGACUGUAUAGCUAGAGUACGGUAGAGGGGGAUGGAAUUCCGCGUGUAGCAGUGAAAUGCGUAGAUAUGCGGAGGAACACCGAUGGCGAAGGCAAUCCCCUGGACCUGUACUGACGCUCAUGCACGAAAGCGUGGGGAGCAAACAGG